GGCGGAACCAGCGGGCAGAUUUUGGUAGGUCGUAGUGACGCAUCCGCACCGCAGUCUGGCUUGAGACGGGGUGAAAAGGCGACGAGUAUCACUUUGGCUACUGAUUUAGCCUAUAAGUUACCUUGGUGGCUGUAGGAUUACUGUGCUCCACUAUGUUCAACGUGGAAAGUCUACAACGGGCCGAGCUUGGAGAGAGCCUCCUUACAUGGAUCCAGACAUUUAACAUUGAAACACCAUGCCAGACUGUGGAAGACUUAACGAAUGGGGUUGUGAUGGCUCAGGUGCUCCAAAAGAUAGAUCCGACUUACUUUGAUGAAAACUGGUUAAACAGAAUCAAAACAGAAGUAGGAGAUAAUUGGAGGCUAAAGGUAAGCAACUUGAAGAAAAUUUUAAAAGGAAUAAUGGAUUAUAACCAUGAGAUUCUAGGGCAACAGAUUAAUGACUUCACUCUUCCUGAUGUUAACCUGAUUGGAGAGCACUCUGAUGCUGCAGAGCUUGGGAGAAUGCUUCAGCUUAUUUUGGGAUGUGCUGUGAAUUGUGAACAGAAGCAAGAAUACAUACAGACCAUAAUGAUGAUGGAAGAAUCAGUUCAACAUGUUGUCAUGACAGCCAUUCAGGAGUUGAUGAGUAAAGAGUCUCCAGUCUCUUUUGGAAAUGAUGCUUACAUUGACCUUGAACGUCAGUUGAAGAAAACUACAGAAGAAUUAAAUGAAGCCCUAGCAACGAAAGAAGAAAUUGCCCAGAGAUGUCAUGAGUUAGAUAUGCAGGUUGCAGCACUUCAAGAUGAGAAGAGCAUUUUACUUGCUGAGAACCAGAUUCUGAUGGAACGUUUGAAUCAAUCUGAUUCUAUAGAAGAUCCCAACAGCCCUGCAGGUCGUAGGCACUUGCAGCUGCAGACCCAAUUAGAGCACCUCCAAGAGGAAACAUUCAGGUUAGAAUCUGCCAAAGAUGACUAUCACAUACGUUGUGAAGAACUAGAAAAGGAAAUUGCAGAACUGAGACAACAGACUGAAGAGCUUAGUACAUUAGCAGAGGAGGCUCAGUCUUUGAAGGAUGAAAUAGAUAUACUCAGGCAUUCUUUUGAUAAAGUGGCCAAGUUAGAAAGCCAGGUGGAGUCAUACAAAAAGAAGCUGGAAGACCUGGGUGAUUUGCGGCGGCAAGUGAAACUAUUAGAAGAGAAGAAUACAGUGUACAUGCAAAACACUGUGAGUCUGGAGGAAGAACUAAGGAAAGCCAAUGCAGCACGUAGCCAGCUGGAGACAUACAAGAGACAGGCAGUGGAAUUACAAAACAGAUUAUCUGAAGAAUCCAAGAAAUCUGAUAAACUAGAUUAUGAAUGCAAACAGUUGAAAGAAAAAGUAGACAGCCUCCAAAAAGAAAAAGAUAGAUUAAGAGCAGAAAGAGAUUCUUUAAAAGAAAGUAUUGAAGAGCUCCGAUGUAUACAAGCACAGGAAGGUCAACUCACCACUACAGCACUGAUGCCCCUGGUAAGCCAUGAACCUUCAGACAGUCUAGCAGUGGAAAUUGUUACUCCUGAAAUCAAGGAGAAACUUAUUCACCUUCAGCAUGAGAACAAGAUGUUAAAGCUGAACCAAGAAGAUUGUGACAAUGAAAAGAUCACCUUGUUGCAGAGCUUGCUUGAUGGUACAAAUUUACGGAAGAAUGAAUUGGAGACAGAGAACAGGCUGGUAAAUCAGAGACUGCUAGAAGUACAGUCCCAGGUUGAAGAACUACAGAAGUCUUUGCAGGAGCAAGAUGCAAAAGCUGAAGAUCCAUUUCGAGGAAAUCAGGGCUUCGUCGUUCCUUGGAAAGACAGACACCAUCACUCUGAACAUCCCCUCUUUCCUUCAUUCUUCUCCCAGCUUUUAUUGCUAAGCAUGAUGUCAUAUGGUAUGGAAUAUCCCUUUGAUCAGUUGGGGUCAGCUGUCCCAGCUGUGUCCCCUCCCAAUUUCUUGUGCACUCCCAGCCUACUCACUGACAGGGCAGUGUGAUAAGCAGAAAAGGCCUUGACUCUGUGUAAGCACUGCUCAGCAACAACCAAAACACCCCUGUAUUAUCAACACUGUUUCCAGCGCAAAUCCAAAACAUAGCCCCAUACAAGCUACUAUGAAGAAAAUUAACUCUAUCCCAGCCAAAAACAGUACAGCUACUAAUGUGACUUCAAUGUUAAAAUUACUUUUCAUGACAGCAACUGCAUUUCUUUGAAACUGUGGUUUGAGUAUGAUGUUUGCAUAUGUAUGAAAGUGGAAAAGCCUUCAUAUACUUGAACACAGUAUGGAUAAUUUUUACUGGCUUUCCCAAACUCUCCAGAAAAUAUGACAGGAUUAAACUGUUAAUGAGAACAGAGAAGUAAGAAAAAUGUACAUGUCUGGAAAAAAUGCAUGGAUUUAAGCUUUUCUGUUCAUGAGUUACUGAAUAGUUUCUUCUGUUGGUUGCUGGUUUUGCUUUAUGCUAAUAUGUCAUCUUUGUUUCCUGGCAUGGGUUUCUGCUCAAGGCUAUUGUGAGUAUGGCUUUCUGUUUACUUAAUACUACUUUUACUUUAUAGGCAUUUAUGGUUUUGAUUUUAAAAGAUGCUUGAUGUAUAUAAAGCAAGUUUAUGAUUAAACUAAAAUUUAUUUUGAAGCGCAUCACCACCAUCCCCCCUGACAAGAGCUUAUUCAAAUGUGACUUAGCCAAAAAUCAGAACACCAUAAGGUGUAUUAUAUUUACAUAUUUUUAGGCAAAGAAAAAUAUGAAAACAAAGAAAAGCAGAGCAAUUGAGGAUAAAAUUUCUGCUGUCCUCUGGUCAGUAGCAUUCUACUCCAUCUAAUUUUUGCAGGGACAGAAUUUUACCUCGAGUCUUUAUGUGAAAUUGCUUUGAUGCAUUGGAAAGCUCUUCAAGCAAAUUUUCCACUAUCUAAUUUUAAAUUAAUUUAAUUGAGUCUAAUUUAAAUUAGUCUAAUCUACAAAAGUACUGAAUCACAAAGCAAUGAAAACAACUGAAAUACAAUUUUGUCAUUAAUGGAUCUCUCAUAUAUUGAUCCAAUUCCAAGAAAGUAUUUGUGAAGUUAUAAGGCAUUCUGAUUUUGGGGAAGUCCACAGCUAUCAAGGAAAGAACAACUACAGAAAACUGCUAUACAAUUAUGACCUAAAAAUGGGUGAAAUUAAAUGUCUGUGUUCUGGUUAUAAUUGUUAAAUUAUAUAUUUUAAUAGAACUGAAAUCAUACUAAGCACCAUAACAUAUUAAAGUAACUGACACCUUUGACUUUCUAUUUUAGUCCCUGCUUCUGCAAAAGAAACUUGAAGAGCAUCUUGAGAAGCUCCAUGAAGCUAACAAUGAGCUACAGAAGAAACGAGCUAUUAUUGAGGAUUUGGAACCAAGAUGUAAUAACAAUUCACUCAAAAUUGAAGAAUUACAAGAAGC
This is an RNA transcript of Falco peregrinus (peregrine falcon), 3403 nucleotides long. It is a transcript of the gene named protein Hook homolog 3-like, with no coding region annotated. The transcript is spliced from 19 exons. The record is from RefSeq and is a predicted model, not a curated record. Lineage: Eukaryota; Metazoa; Chordata; Aves; Falconiformes; Falconidae.